GUUCUUCUAGCCUCUAGGUUACCCUCAUCCAUAGGAAUCACAUCUGCAUUCCUGUAACUGCAUAAGGAGAAAGAAGGUGGAAGCUGAGGAUGCUAUGAAAACCCCUUGAGGAAACAAAGGCACCUUGGGGGCCAUUGAGAACUCCUGACGAAGAGGGCUCAGCUGCCAGACCUGCUCAAGAAAGACCUCAGAAAUCUCUAUGGGGCUGUCAGAAGAAAAGCUGGGGGAAGCACAGUGCUGCGUUGUUGGCAGCCCACUGAAAAGGUGGACAACUCAUCGCCAGGAGCUGAAGUCCCCAGCCUAACAACCCAGAGGAACUCAGACUUGCCAACAACCGUGUACAUGAGCUUGAAGACAAACUUGCAACUCCAGUCCAACCUUGAGAUGACCGCAACUUCACGAGAAGCCUUGAGCCAGAACCACCCAACUAAGCCGUCCCCAGAUUCCUCAUACCCAUCACUGUCAGAAAGAGUUUGUUGUAAGCUGCUAAGAAUUAGGAUUCCACAUUGCAGCUAAUCUUCAUUAAACUACCACGUGGUGAAUUUUAAUGUAGUAUCCAAGAAGCAUACUGACACCUUCUCCAUUGUCCUACUAUGUAUCUGUGUAAGGCCAGAUUUUCUUCAUAUACAUUAACCAAAGCAACAUAUGGCAACAGACUGAAUGAAGAGGCAGGUUUCCUGGGACUCUGUUGCAUCAAAUUCUACUGCUAGGCAUCAAUUUUAAAGUAUUUCAUCAGUUGGACCUACCAAAUAUCAAGUCAGGAUUUGGCCAUCUCUGCUCUUGCCAUUCCACCUCUCACGACUCUAUCCUCAAACUCCACUUAAUAGAAACUUGUCAUUUGAAUGAAGACAGAAAGGGCAAGAGUGCAGUGGUAUAAUUUUGAGCCUUUUACAAGCCCACAUCUGAGUUCGAGAUGCCUAUAUGAUAUGAAGGUGAGAUACGCAGCACAUCACCGAGGUUUGUUUUCAAGAGAUUGAUUAAUGCUGGAGAUAGAGAUUUAAGAAUCAUUAGCGGUGAUAGCCGAGGCCAUGAGUGUGGGGAAAAAAUUUAAGAAAAGGGAGCUAAGAAUUGGACGCUAAAGAACAUUAGUAUAAAAGGAUUAGAGAAGUCAGAGAAACUUAGAGAGAUGACUUAGGAGUGCUCUGAAAAGUUGGAGAGAAUGAUAUUGAGGAAGUCAAGACAGAAUAGAGUUUCCAGAAAGAGGAAGUGUCUAAUAAAGAUAACUGAAAAGUAUUCAUUAGUGUAGACAUUCAGUUUAGUUAUAAUCUUAGCAGGAAUAUUAUUUUUAAAGGUGGAGACAAAAUUUAAGUAGUUGAGAAAUAAAGAUAAAAAUGUUGAAAUAGUGAAUUGUGAUUUUUUUUCAUCUAGGAUUUGUCGGUCUUAGAAUUAUAGUCUUGGGUAUAUGGAGACACAGUGGUGAGAAAAAUGUUAACAGUAUCUCUUGUUGGGGGAAUGCUACUGGCCUUGGGGACAGGACAGGGUUCAGAGUGAGGGACUGGUGCCGAGCAUCUCUGACCUUGUCCAUUAGUGGCCCUUGUCAUUGUGAAAGCCAAAAAUUAUCCCCAUUUUCUAAAGUCUGCACAUGGGAGAGUCCAGCUCCUAGUUGAGAAAAGCUAAUACCUGGGUUUGCUGUGACAACAGUAGCAGGAUGCCGCAGAGAGUUUUGGAAUUUUCUUGACUGAAAAGUUUUUUAGAGGUGGAGGUUAUCAGAAGCCUUUCUUUCCUAAUCAAGACGUAUUAUUAGUUUACUGUUAGAUUACUGAGAGCCUUUAUCUUUCAGCCACUGCUCAUAUCUCACAAAAAAGUUUUGAUACUUCUUGCCUGUUUCCAGC
RNAcentral lists this long non-coding RNA (1832 nucleotides) under Homo sapiens (human). RNAcentral's name for it is "HSALNT0323637". The record is from RNAcentral. Lineage: Eukaryota; Metazoa; Chordata; Mammalia; Primates; Hominidae.